GACAGCAUGGCGUAGUGGUUUGCGCAUUGGACUAUGACUCUGGAGACCAGGGUUUGAAUCCCUGCUUAGCCA
This 72-nucleotide transfer RNA is filed under the name Phrynosoma platyrhinos (Desert horned lizard). RNAcentral's name for it is "tRNA-OTHER". It matches the Rfam family "tRNA". Rfam says of the family: Transfer RNA (tRNA) molecules are approximately 80 nucleotides in length. Their secondary structure includes four short double-helical elements and three loops (D, anti-codon, and T loops). The record is from RNAcentral. Lineage: Eukaryota; Metazoa; Chordata; Lepidosauria; Squamata; Phrynosomatidae.